UACGGGGGGGGCAAGCGUUGUUCGGAAUUACUGGGCGUAAAGGGCUCGUAGGCGGCCAACUAAGUCAGACGUGAAAUCCCUCGGCUUAACCGGGGAACUGCAUCUGAUACUGGAUGGCUCGAGUUCGGGAGAGGGAUGCGGAAUUCCAGGUGUAGCGGUGAAAUGCGUAGAUAUCUGGAGGAACACCGGCGGCGAAGGCGGCAUUCUGGACCGAAACUGACGCUGAGGCGCGAAAGCCAGGGGAGCAAACGGG
This 253-nucleotide ribosomal RNA is filed under the name uncultured bacterium. RNAcentral describes it as "partial 16S ribosomal RNA". It matches the Rfam family "Bacterial small subunit ribosomal RNA", at positions 524 to 776 of the family's 1533-position model. The record is from RNAcentral.